This 354-nucleotide ribosomal RNA is filed under the name uncultured Streptococcus sp. Its description in RNAcentral is "bacterial SSU rRNA". It matches the Rfam family "Bacterial small subunit ribosomal RNA", at positions 1027 to 1382 of the family's 1533-position model. Lineage: Bacteria; Bacillati; Bacillota; Bacilli; Lactobacillales; Streptococcaceae. The record is from RNAcentral.
AUCGGUGACAGGUGGUGGCAUGGUUGUCGUCAGCUCGUGUCGUGAGAUGUUGGUUAAGUCCCGCAACGAGCGCAACCCCUAUUGUUAGUUGCCAUCAUUCAGUUGGGCACUCUAGCGAGACUGCCGGUAAUAAACCGGAGGAAGGUGGGGAUGACGUCAAAUCAUCAUGCCCCUUAUGACCUGGGCUACACACGUGCUACAAUGGUUGGUACAACGAGUCGCGAGUCGGUGACGGCGAGCUAAUCUCUUAAAGCCAAUCUCAGUUCGGAUUGUAGGCUGCAACUCGCCUACAUGAAGUCGGAAUCGCUAGUAAUCGCGGAUCAGCACGCCGCGGUGAAUACGUUCCCGGGCCUU